UGCUUGCACCGGGGAUUAGUGGCGAACGGGUGAGUAACACGUGAGUAACCUGCCCUUAACUCUGGGAUAAGCCUGGGAAACUGGGUCUAAUACCGGAUAUGACUCCUCAUCGCAUGGUGGGGGGUGGAAAGCUUUUGUGGUUUUGGAUGGACUCGCGGCCUAUCAGCUUGUUGGUGAGGUAAUGGCUCACCAAGGCGACGACGGGUAGCCGGCCUGAGAGGGUGACCGGCCACACUGGGACUGAGACACGGCCCAGACUCCUACGGGAGGCAGCAGUGGGGAAUAUUGCACAAUGGGCGCAAGCCUGAUGCAGCGACGCCGCGUGAGGGAUGACGGCCUUCGGGUUGUAAACCUCUUUCAGUAGGGAAGAAGCGAAAGUGACGGUACCUGCAGAAGAAGCGCCGGCUAACUACGUGCCAGCAGCCGCGGUAAUACGUAGGGCGCAAGCGUUAUCCGGAAUUAUUGGGCGUAAAGAGCUCGUAGGCGGUUUGUCGCGUCUGCCGUGAAAGUCCGGGGCUCAACUCCGGAUCUGCGGUGGGUACGGGCAGACUAGAGUGAUGUAGGGGAGACUGGAAUUCCUGGUGUAGCGGUGAAAUGCGCAGAUAUCAGGAGGAACACCGAUGGCGAAGGCAGGUCUCUGGGCAUUAACUGACGCUGAGGAGCGAAAGCAUGGGGAGCGAACAGGAUUAGAUACCCUGGUAGUCCAUGCCGUAAACGUUGGGCACUAGGUGUGGGGGACAUUCCACGUUUUCCGCGCCGUAGCUAACGCAUUAAGUGCCCCGCCUGGGGAGUACGGCCGC
Molecule: ribosomal RNA, 800 nt
Filed under: Arthrobacter globiformis
Lineage: Bacteria; Bacillati; Actinomycetota; Actinomycetes; Micrococcales; Micrococcaceae
Description: bacterial SSU rRNA
Rfam family: Bacterial small subunit ribosomal RNA
Source: RNAcentral